UAGAGACGCACAACAGUUUUCCCUAUGAAUCCCAUACUUUUUCUCUUUUUAUCUCUGCUUAUUUCUGCAGGGACUACCAAAAAGCUAAUUUCAUCUUCUAAAGACUACCAUAACUUACCUGUCAAUGACUUGGAGGAGGAGGAGGAGGAGGAGGAAGAUGAUAAUGAUGGUAAUAACUAUGUUGUACAAAGUCCUGAGGACCAUGAGAUCUUUUUAGAAACAGACAUUUCUACAAAUCCGCCUGUGUCCAAAGAUGUGUUAAUGCUGAAGAACAGUAUGCAGAAUUUACGGGAGUACUUGAAAUUGCUCUCCAUCAAAAAGGCUGAAGAGGAACAACUAGAGAGUUCUGAAGCAGAGCCUUCUGAAGAAUCCAAAUUUGGACCUCAUUAUCUCAACAUUAUCACUCAAGGCCCAGUCGAGGAAUCACUUAGUGGAGAUCUAAGAGCAAAACCUGUGAACAUUUACAAGG
RNAcentral lists this long non-coding RNA (469 nucleotides) under Chrysemys picta bellii (western painted turtle). RNAcentral's name for it is "lncRNA (ENSCPBG00000007992.1)". The record is from RNAcentral. Lineage: Eukaryota; Metazoa; Chordata; Testudines; Emydidae.